UUUCAGAUUUUUUUAAGAUUUUAUCAUCUUCUACUCAAAAAUAACUUAAACCAUUCAUUCAUUUAGUAAUGUUGACCGAAAAAACAAUCUACACUUAAGUACCGAGAGGGAACAAACCACUAAUAACAAUAGUAGAGAUAAAACCUCGUACCUUUUGCAUCAUGGGAAGACAAGAAUCUCUUUUAAAUUUAAAUCACCCGAACUUUACGUGAGCUACUCUGUAGAAUAAACACAAUGUUGCAAAACUGUUGUUAACUACAUAAUAGAUGCUAAAUACUUACCGCACUAAAAGAUAGCUGGUUACUCAGAAAAGAUAUAAAAGUAUCUCCUUUCUUUAGGAAAGAUUCAAUAACAGAAGGAUAAGCUUCCGUUAUAUCAACGGCUCGAGAUCAUUAAUUUUUUAACAGUAGGAAUAAAAUUUUCCACCACCAAUUUUGUUAUAAAAUAUAAAACACUAAUUAGAAAAUCAAUUUGAUCAACCUUGAUCGCCACUGAGUCAUAUAGAACAACUAAACUCCUUGACUAUAUAACUGAUGUUUUCACAAGUAUUUUUACAUUUAAUAAUCUUUUUCACAAAAUAAAAGUUUAUUUACCAACCAACACUUAAAUAUAUAUAAGGAACUCGGCAAACACACUACUCCGCCUGUUUAUCAAAAACAUGUCUCUUAGAAAACAUUAAGAGUCAGGCCUGCCCAGUGAUCACUUUAACGGCCGCGGUACCCUGACCGUGCAAAGGUAGCAUAAUCAUUUGCCUUUUAAUUGGAGGCUAGUAUGAAUGGUCCGACGAGAGUAAAACUGUCUCAUAUAUACUCAAUAUAAAUUAACCUAAAGGUGCAAAGGCCUUUAUCUACUAGAAAGACGAGAAGACCCUGUUGAGCUUCAAUCUUAACGAGCAUCUUUUCUAUAUUUAUAAAUUUAUUUUGCUUGCUAAAGAUUUUAAUUGGGGCGAUUAAGGAACACCCAUCAGCUUCCUGAACUUACUUAGAAAUAUUUAUGAAUUAAAUCGAUCCAGCAGUGCUGAUCAGCAAAAUGAGUUACCACAGGGAUAACAGCAUAAUUCUUCUUGAGAGUCCAUAUCGAAAGAAGAGAUUGUGACCUCGAUGUUGGACUAGGGUAACCAGAAGGUGCAGCCGCUUUCUUGUUUGGUCUGUUCGACCAGUAAUUCCCUACAUGAUCUGAGUUCAGACCGGCGUAAGCCAGGUCAGUUUCUAUCUUUUAAUCAAUACAAAUUUAGGCUAGUACGAAAGGACCGCUUAAAAUAAAUAAUUUAUCACAAAGUGAAUCAUAAUCUAACUUGAUUUU
Molecule: ribosomal RNA, 1302 nt
Filed under: Nerita plicata
Lineage: Eukaryota; Metazoa; Mollusca; Gastropoda; Cycloneritida; Neritidae
Description: 16S ribosomal RNA
Rfam family: Archaeal large subunit ribosomal RNA (bases 565-1302)
Source: RNAcentral